This 31-nucleotide non-coding RNA is filed under the name Rattus norvegicus (Norway rat). Lineage: Eukaryota; Metazoa; Chordata; Mammalia; Rodentia; Muridae. The record is from RNAcentral.
UGAGACCAAUGUGUCUACGGUGUACUCACUU